Molecule: ribosomal RNA, 465 nt
Filed under: uncultured bacterium
Lineage: Bacteria
Description: partial 16S ribosomal RNA
Rfam family: Bacterial small subunit ribosomal RNA
Source: RNAcentral
GACGAACGCUGGCGGCGUGCUUAACACAUGCAAGUCGAACGGAAAGGCCCUGCUUGCAGGGUACUCGAGUGGCGAACGGGUGAGUAACACGUGGGUGAUCUGCCCUCCACUUCGGGAUAAGCCUGGGAAACUGGGUCUAAUACCUGAUAGGAGCCAUUUUUAGUGUGUUGGUUGGAAAGUUUUUUCGGUGUAGGAUGAUCUCGGGGCCUAUCAGCUUGUUGGUGGGGUAAUGGCCUACCAAGGCGGCGACGGGUAGCCGGCAUGCGAGGGUGGACGGCCAGAUUGGGACUGAGAUACGGGCCAGAGUCCUACGGGAGGCAGCAGUGGGGAAUAUUGCACACUGGGAGCAAGCCUGAUGCAGCGACGCCGCGUGGGGGAUGAGGGCCUUUGGGUUGUAAGAUCCGUUCCAUAGGGACGCAGCUUUUUGUGACGGGAACUAGAUAAGAAGCCCCGGCUAACUACGUG